UACGUAGGGUGCAAGCGUUGUCCGGAAUUAUUGGGCGUAAAGGGCUCGUAGGCGGUUUGUCGCGUCGGGAGUGAAAACCAGGUGCUUAACACCUGGCUUGCUUUCGAUACGGGCAGACUAGAGGUAUGCAGGGGAGAACGGAAUUCCUGGUGUAGCGGUGAAAUGCGCAGAUAUCAGGAGGAACACCUGCGGCGAAGGCGGGUUGCUGGGCUGACACUGACGCUGAUGCGCGAAAGCUAGGGGAGCGAACGGG
RNAcentral lists this ribosomal RNA (253 nucleotides) under uncultured bacterium. Its description in RNAcentral is "partial 16S ribosomal RNA". It matches the Rfam family "Bacterial small subunit ribosomal RNA", at positions 524 to 776 of the family's 1533-position model. The record is from RNAcentral.